Molecule: ribosomal RNA, 253 nt
Filed under: uncultured bacterium
Lineage: Bacteria
Description: partial 16S ribosomal RNA
Rfam family: Bacterial small subunit ribosomal RNA
Source: RNAcentral
UACGAAGGGGGCUAGCGUUGCUCGGAAUUACUGGGCGUAAAGGGCGCGUAGGCGGCCUUCUAAGUCGGACGUGAAAUCCCUCGGCUUAACCGAGGAACUGCGUCCGAGACUGAAAGGCUUGAAUCCGGGAGAGGGAUGUGGAAUUCCAGGUGUAGCGGUGAAAUGCGUAGAUAUCUGGAGGAACACCGGUGGCGAAGGCGGCAUCCUGGACCGGCAUUGACGCUGAGGCGCGAAAGCUAGGGGAGCAAACGGG